UGAGGAAGCAGAGGCACGUCGCCUGGCUGAGGAAGCAGCCGUCUGGCUGAGG
Molecule: small nucleolar RNA, 52 nt
Filed under: Trypanosoma cruzi
Lineage: Eukaryota; Euglenozoa; Kinetoplastea; Trypanosomatida; Trypanosomatidae
Description: C/D small nucleolar RNA (snoRNA)
Source: RNAcentral